This 567-nucleotide unclassified non-coding RNA is filed under the name Hevea brasiliensis (rubber tree). Lineage: Eukaryota; Viridiplantae; Streptophyta; Magnoliopsida; Malpighiales; Euphorbiaceae. The record is from RNAcentral.
UUUUCCCUGAAUAUUACGCGAUAGAAACUGUCUUUAGAAGUCCAUCAAGAUACUCCUUGAGUUUAACUUUUGUUAUCGCGCCUUCCCUUUUGCUGUCUGGGACUUCCUUUCCAUCUUUGAAGAGAAUCAAAGUUGGCAAUCCGUAAACUUUGUACUCUUCUAUGAGCUUGGGACUCGCGUCAUGAUCUAUCUUAACAACAGUGAUCUUUUCUUUGUACUCCUCAGCAACGGAUUCCAUGGCAGGACCAAUCAAACGGCAAGGUCCACACCAAGUAGCUACGAACUCCACAAGUACAGGACGAUCGGACUUCAAAACCACGUCGGAAAACUCAUCUUCCUUAAUCUCCGUCAAUCCACCGCCACAGCUUAUCCUCAAUGUCGAACAAUUUCGAAACCCUAACUUUCUCCCUCGAUUCCCAAUCGAAAACCUAACUUUUUUCCAAGCCAAAGAAGAAAACGAAGAACGAAAAGGAGAAGCGAAAUUACAAGUUGUAUUGAACGAAUGCGUCAUAGGAUAUGAAAUCCUCGAAGUUGAAGUAGCGACGGAAGCCAUUGUCGCCAUUGUUG